AUGCGGCGGCUUUCCAUCGUGUUCGAAGACCCUGACGCGUGGGUCCCACGCGUCAGUGGCGGCGGGCGCACGUGCACUCGGCGGGGCCGGUCGGUUCGGUCCGGUUUUCUCCCCUUUUUUUUCUUUUAGCCUUUUUCUUUUCCUGUUUUCCUUAUUUCUUUGAUAACUUUUGAUUUUGAACUCCAAAUUGGCCCAAAUAAAUUUCAGAAAAUUGUAAAAUUAUGUUUUACCAUGAUACAACUUUUGGGAGUAAUUUACCUUCAAAAUAAAAUAUAUAAAAAUACAUUUACCCUAUAAAUGCCUUUAGGGCUAUAUAACUAUUUAAAUAAAAUACUUUUUCAACUCCAAAUAUUUAUCCAAAAAUUAUGGGAUAGCUUAUUUAUGCAAUAAACCCUUUUAUAGUUAAAAUUUAUUGGUUUGAAGAUCCAAAGUUCAAUUGGGUGUAAACCCUAGGGUUUAAAUUGAAAUAAAAUCUUUCCAAAGCCUUUUGAGAUUCAAAAUUGAAUUCAAAUGUGCAAUUGUGGUA
This 526-nucleotide long non-coding RNA is filed under the name Brachypodium distachyon (stiff brome). Its description in RNAcentral is "long non-coding RNA (BDIS_LNC005967)". The record is from RNAcentral. Lineage: Eukaryota; Viridiplantae; Streptophyta; Magnoliopsida; Poales; Poaceae.